Non-coding RNA from Cyanistes caeruleus (blue tit), 3734 nucleotides. The record is from RefSeq and is a predicted model, not a curated record. Lineage: Eukaryota; Metazoa; Chordata; Aves; Passeriformes; Paridae.
UGCUCCUCCGGCGCCUCCUCCGGCCCUGGCACCGGCCCCGGCCGCUCUCCCUGCCUCGCCAGAACACGAAAACCCUCCCCCGCCGAUGCCGGAGACACUCGUCUUUCUAUCUGCAGCAUCAGCGAGAAAGCCCAGCUCGGCGCAGGCUCAGUGCUCACCGCCGCAGUCCCGGACGGAGGAGGGGGGUUCGGGAGCGCAGCAUCUUCGCAGCGGGUUAAGUAGGAUUAGUACCAAAUCCCUAUUAUAUUUGCCAAGCAACUUGAAUUUAUCAAAAUUCCCCCUCGCUGUUCUGGAGCUCCGUGAGGAGGAAAUUUUGCUCACAGUGUAAGAUCCACACAUGCCAGUUCGUAGGAAUAGCAGCAUACUGCAUUUCACUGGCUCCCUGCGCAGGAAAUGCAACUGCGAACGGCAGCUCCCGCUGUUCCCGUCCUUUGUGUUUUUAAACGCAGCCAGGAAACUUAAUGUAUUCGCCAGGGAAGGGGCGGGAUGAGAGCUUUUUUAACCUCCCCGCCAUAAACUUUAAUGGGAUUCCGGGCUGUUGCACGGCAUGGACGCUCGCCUCUUGCCUGCGUCUCCUUCCCCGUUGUUCCUACUACGGUCUGCUCGCGAGUGCCUCUUUCAAGCGAAUGAGUGAUUUCUUUCUCUUGCCAUGUGCAAUUGCUCCCCCUUCCCUUCCUACCCUCGCUGGCCUCUCUUACACACACUAUGCCUUUCACACGCGGUCUGCGGCCCCCAGUCCCCCCCCCUCCUUUCUUUCUUUUUUGCAGUGUCUUCACAUGCAAUCUCUCUCUGAAUGUGCAAUGUCUUUCCUGCUCGGGAGUGCUGCGUCCUUCACAGUGGAUUGGUUCCUCUUUCGGAGCAGAGGAGAGCAUAAAAGAUCUGGCAUGUCUUCAUGAUUGUACUGUGUCAGCUGCCUGUUGAGCAGAAGAUAAAAUACUCAAGCAAGAUGGCAACUCUGAGAAGUUCUGAAGAAGAACCUUUGAUAUUAUAAUUCAAGCACUGUUACGGAUAAUUGAAUGUUGUGCAGCUCUAUUCCUUUCUAAACUACAAUACUCUCAUAUUCCAUGACCUCUCUUCUGGGACAUAACAAUAUUAGCAGAUAGCUUCCAUGUUUGAACACAGAAGGAUGAAAAUCAGAUCUGAACAGAGAGAAAAAGAUGAAGAAAUGCUAUUGACUGUUCCAGGCUAUCAUGAUUGCAGUAUUAAAAAUGGGAAGGCACUAUGGAGACUGAGGUAAAAAAAAAUCCAUAGAGUUUUUACAUAUCCAAGCCCAACUCUCACUGACAUAAGGUGUGUCUGAAAAUGUUCUCUUCAGCCAAACAGUCUCAUGGUUUCAGAUGGCAGUAGAAAACUCCCUACUUUUCCAUCUUAAGACAAAAGACCUUACAAAGGACCCUAAUAAAGUCAAAGGAAGAAAAAACAUCCAAAUCAUCUCCGUUUCACAAUUUUCCAGCAUGCUUCUUAUGGUGAAAGGAACUGAUUUCAAAGGAAAGGAAGAAAGGAAGAAGAAAUGUCUCUUUCAAGCAUUGCUGGAAGGAGUGGCUUAACGUUCUAAACAUAAUGGAAAUGUCUGAAUUUGCUGAGCCAAUGAUUUAACCUGAGUUAGGUUUGAGUGAAAUCUUCUUUGAGAUGUGAGCACUGAUUUCCCUUGAAUUUAAUGAGUGGAUCUUUUGAGAGUAAAUUUUAAACACUGACCAUGUGUUGGCUGUGUGAGGGUGCAGAGCAUUCUGCCUCCACACCCUUCUGCAGAAAUGCUGGGGGAAAGCCAGCAUUAUGUCAAAGCCAUGAAGACUGAAACUUUAUUUUUAAAGCAUUUUUACUUUUUGCUUUCUCACCAUUAUUUCUGGUUUGGCUUGGGGUUUUUUGUUUCCCUUUUUUUCCCGCCCUCCUCUAAGGAAACAGAAAACAUGCCACAGUAGAAUAUGUUUCAGUCCCAUUAUCAGAAAUAUUUAUUGAUUUGUACUCCUCCCCUCAUCUGUUUUUAUUGUCUAAGUAUUGUAAAGUUUUCCUACAAUGAGAGAAAGGAGAUAAAUAAUGUGAUAAAUAUUCAAAUGAUUUUAAAUAUAUUUUGGCAGUAUUUCAGUUAUAUGACUAGUUUCAGGUUGUUGUCAUUUUCAUAUGAAAAAAAUGUUGAAAAGAAAUGAAAGUAACACUAAUUCUUUGGCUAUAGGUAUAAAUAUGUGGUGUUGAGCCUGAUAAUCUUAUUCCUAUGAAAAAGACAGCCUUUAUUAUAAAGCUGAGGUUUUAGUUCAGGUAUAUUUAUUUGAGAGAGGACACUGAUAACAAGGUUGUUGUGUUAGCUAAAAGUAAAUAUAAAACAACAAUAAAAGAUAUAAUUUAUGAGAUAAGUACUCAUGCAUAGAAAUAGUUUCAGAAUCUUCAUUUAGUCCUAUCAUGAUGUCUUUAACAUAUCAUCAUGUUAAAGAUUAUUUCCAGUGACCCUGGAUAUUUAAUAUACACCCUGAUUUUUUAAAGAAAUUCAUUCCAUGAAUGAACUGUGUAUUCAGACUCUUCAGACUGCAUCCUCCAGCUCCCUAUGCUGUGAACAGGAAAAUAAGUUAGAGAAUGAAAAACUCAUCAUGCAGUCAAUAGCAUUUUCUUAUGGUAGUGGUAGUAUUUGGAAGACAGUAGCUUCCUUUGUAAAUAACUUUGAUAUGUAUUUCACUAAAAUGUUAUACAGUAUUAUAUGUAUGACACUGACAGUAUGAAGUUUUUAUGUUCUGAACUGAAGAAAAUUAAACAAUCCACCAACAAGUACAUCUGUGCUGGGAGCAUGUUCUGGGUGAAUAAUGAACUUCUACACCUUUAAAUUUAAAUAUUAGUUUUGAGGAACUACCAGUGUUUGUGCACAGCAUGGAGCAGGCCAGAAUGCAGCAAGCCCUCUGUCUUCUUCUAUGAACCCUGCUGUGCUGCUUCAGGCACAGGAGUGGAUAUUCUAAACAUGAAUGUACUCAGUGUGGAAGAACAGCUAGUAAGAGGGUUCCUGGUCUGGACUAAGGACCUCACUAAUGGUGCCUGUAUUGCUUCUGGUAUGGCUGGUGAUCUACAUCGCUGUCACCAUCCACCCCCAAAGGUCUUAGGGUGCCAGAGGAAGGCUAAGACCCCGUUUAUUCCACAAGAGGUUAUUUUAUGAAAUUGUACCCAAUAUGUGUGUUGUAUGGCUGGCAGUAUGAUGUGAGAACUGUUGGGCAGCAAAGGUCUGGCUUUACAGCGGAGGGCUUGGUGUGUACCAUGCAGGUGUGCAUGUGUGUGACUGUGGUGGUGCAGAUGUGCAGAGAGACCUGUUGUGGUCUUAUUCAUAUUGUCUAUAGGUUUACUUUGGAGUAAAUUAUCCCCACCUGGAGUUUCCCUGAGAGAAAAUUAGCUGUGACAGUUCAAAAGAGAGCCCAGGAGCAAACUGACAUACAAGCAGUGUGAACUGUCAAUGAACUGCAGGGUGAAGUGAAAGGGAGUGCUAAGUUGUUUGACAGCAUGCAAAGGUGACUUAGAUCAAUGUAGCUUGUCAACUGUAUCUGUAUGGCAGCGAUGUCCUGAGGAGACAUACUCUGAAACACCAUUCUCAUAUCUCGAGUUAGCUCUGCAAAGAUUCCUGUACAAAGACAUGCAUACUGUAACUAGGGUUUUUUUUGUGUCUGACUUCUCAUUUUUGAAGAUAUUUUGCUGUCAAUGUCUUUCACAUCUCAUGUAUUUACUCAGCUUUUUAUCCUCAAAAUACUUUACUUUUCAUUUUUCAA